GCGAUACCUAGUGUGAAUUGCAGAAUUCCGUGAAUCAUCGAGUUUUUGAACGCAAGUUGCGCCCGAGGCUCGUCCGAGGGCAUGCCUGCCUGAGCGUCCAU
This 101-nucleotide ribosomal RNA is filed under the name Colura ornata. Its description in RNAcentral is "partial 5.8S ribosomal RNA". It matches the Rfam family "5.8S ribosomal RNA", at positions 55 to 154 of the family's 154-position model. From Rfam's summary of the family: 5.8S ribosomal RNA (5.8S rRNA) is a component of the large subunit of the eukaryotic ribosome. Lineage: Eukaryota; Viridiplantae; Streptophyta; Jungermanniopsida; Porellales; Lejeuneaceae. The record is from RNAcentral.